UACGGAGGGUGCAAGCGUUAAUCGGAAUUACUGGGCGUAAAGGGCGCGUAGGUGGUAUCUUAAGUUGGGUGUGAAAUCCCCGGGCUCAACCUGGGAAUUGCAUCCAAAACUGGGGUGCUAGAGUAUGGUAGAGGGUAGCGGAAUUUCUGGUGUAGCGGUGAAAUGCGUAGAUAUCAGAAGGAACAUCAAUGGCGAAGGCAGCUACCUGGGCCAAUACUGACGCUGAGGCGCGAAAGCAUGGGGAGCAAACAGG
This 253-nucleotide ribosomal RNA is filed under the name uncultured bacterium. Its description in RNAcentral is "partial 16S ribosomal RNA". It matches the Rfam family "Bacterial small subunit ribosomal RNA", at positions 524 to 776 of the family's 1533-position model. The record is from RNAcentral.